This 29-nucleotide non-coding RNA is filed under the name Mus musculus (house mouse). The record is from RNAcentral. Lineage: Eukaryota; Metazoa; Chordata; Mammalia; Rodentia; Muridae.
UGAACCACUGAGUUUGGAGUUCUUUACCA